RNAcentral lists this transfer RNA (59 nucleotides) under Brentisentis yangtzensis. RNAcentral describes it as "tRNA-Ile". The record is from RNAcentral. Lineage: Eukaryota; Metazoa; Acanthocephala; Palaeacanthocephala; Echinorhynchida; Leptorhynchoididae.
ACUCUAAUGCCAGAUUAUGGGGCUUAUUGAUGUUAAGUGAAUGCUUUUAGCUUAGAGUG